Molecule: ribosomal RNA, 261 nt
Filed under: uncultured bacterium
Lineage: Bacteria
Description: partial 16S ribosomal RNA
Rfam family: Bacterial small subunit ribosomal RNA
Source: RNAcentral
UGCCUACGGGAGGCAGCAGUGGGGAAUAUUGCACAAUGGGGGAAACCCUGAUGCAGCAACGCCGCGUGAGUGAAGAAGUAUUUCGGUAUGUAAAGCUCUAUCAGCAGGGAAGAAAAUGACGGUACCUGAGUAAGAAGCCCCGGCUAACUACGUGCCAGCAGCCGCGGUAAUACGUAGGGGGCAAGCGUUAUCCGGAUUUACUGGGUGUAAAGGGAGCGUAGACGGCGAUACAAGUCUGAAGUGAAAGCACGGGGCUCAACC